AUGCAGGAGCAAACGGUCCCUGAAGGUGGCGCCCCCAGACAGGUGCCACGCGCGGGGCCUCCAGGGGAGGGGCCGAGGCAGGUGUGUGCCUUGGAAGGGCCUGGACACAGCCUGGCUCCCAGCACUGGGUCCCCGCGCCGCGCGGGUGGGGGCGGUCCUGCGGGGACGGCUGCCGCCUGUCAAACGCUCCUCCCAGGACAGCGGCUGGGAGCCAGCUCCCGACUCUCUCAUUCUUUGCCUUAUUUGCCGCUCAGGAAGAGAAGGGGCCCCUCCCACUGCACGAGACACAGGGACCCCAAGACAGAGGUCGCACCACCAACACACACAGCCUGCCAGGACUCGGGGCCCCCACCCUGUUCACCCUCCUACUGCGGGGUCCUCCCGACCCCCACGGUUCCUGCAGCAGCUGCCAUUCCGGAGGGUCUGGCCCUGCCCGCACGCUGUGCAGAGCCGCCCCGACCUGGGCCCCAGCCUGGCAAAGGGCCCCCCCCCGGGGGACCCCUGAUUUCCUCCCAGUGCCCUGGCCAUGUCCUGCUCGUCCUGGGAGCUGCAGACGCUGGCUCCUGCCUUCCACACAGGGUCACCUCGCUGUCACAGCAGGCACAGGGGUGCGCGGCUAAGCCACGAAGGCACCAGCUCGGCAGGCCCUGGUCCCCAGCCGCUGGCUCCACUCACGGUGGCAGGACGCGAGCUCGGCCUGAGGACAGAGGGGCCCCGCUCCGCAGACAGGAGCCCAGCUACAGCUCCCGGGAGGGCUUCGCGCCGAGGAGGGGAGGCAGGAACAUGGUCCUGCCGGGGGGAGGGGGCGCAGCACCCACCAGGGCAGAAGGAGCAGCUGCAGGCCACGGAGAUGCCCAGGCUGUGACCCACAGGCCGGGAGCGGCAGCGGGCCCAGACGGAGCCCUCGCCCUGCGAUCUUCCCACGGUGCAGGUGCAGGGCACACGGGGCGCUGCAGCGUGGGCAGAGGCAGGGGCACCUGCUGGAACCGCUCCCGCCGCCGUGCCAGCUGA
RNAcentral lists this long non-coding RNA (1011 nucleotides) under Oryctolagus cuniculus (rabbit). RNAcentral's name for it is "lncRNA (ENSOCUG00000039295.1)". The record is from RNAcentral. Lineage: Eukaryota; Metazoa; Chordata; Mammalia; Lagomorpha; Leporidae.